AGUGAACGCUGGCGGUAGGCCUAACACAUGCCAGUCGAACGGCAGCACAGUAAGAGCUUGCUCUUACGGGUGGCGAGUGACGGACGGGUGAGGAAUACAUCGGAAUCUACUUUUUCGUGGGGGAUAACGUAGGGAAACUUACGCUAAUACCGCAUACGACCUACGGGUGAAAGCAGGGGAUCUUCGGACCUUGCGCGAUUGAAUGAGCCGAUGUCGGAUUAGCUAGUUGGCGGGGUAAAGGCCCACCAAGGCGACGAUCCGUAGCUGGUCUGAGAGGAUGAUCAGCCACACUGGAACUGAGACACGGUCCAGACUCCUACGGGAGGCAGCAGUGGGGAAUAUUGGACAAUGGGCGCAAGCCUGAUCCAGCCAUACCGCGUGGGUGAAGAAGGCCUUCGGGUUGUAAAGCCCUUUUGUUGGGAAAGAAAAGCAGCAGGUUAAUACCCCGCUGUUCUGACGGUACCCAAAGAAUAAGCACCGGCUAACUUCGUG
Molecule: ribosomal RNA, 492 nt
Filed under: uncultured bacterium
Lineage: Bacteria
Description: partial 16S ribosomal RNA
Rfam family: Bacterial small subunit ribosomal RNA
Source: RNAcentral